Molecule: ribosomal RNA, 450 nt
Filed under: uncultured bacterium
Lineage: Bacteria
Description: partial 16S ribosomal RNA
Rfam family: Bacterial small subunit ribosomal RNA
Source: RNAcentral
GUGGGGAAUAUUGGACAAUGGGCGAAAGCCUGAUCCAGCCAUGCCGCGUGUGUGAAGAAGGUCUUCGGAUUGUAAAGCACUUUAAGUUGGGAGGAAGGGCAGUAAGUUAAUACCUUGCUGUUUUGACGUUACCGACAGAAUAAGCACCGGCUAACUUCGUGCCAGCAGCCGCGGUAAUACGAAGGGUGCAAGCGUUAAUCGGAAUUACUGGGUGUAAAGCGCGCGUAGGUGGUUUUGUAAGUUGGAGGUGAAAUCCCCGGGCUCAACCUGGGAACUGCCUCCAAAACUGCAUGACUAGAGUACGGUAGAGGGUAGUGGAAUUUCCUGUGUAGCGGUGAAAUGCGUAGAUAUAGGAAGGAACACCAGUGGCGAAGGCGACUACCUGGACUGAUACUGACACUGAGGUGCGAAAGCGUGGGGAGCAAACAGGAUUAGAAACCCUUGUAGUCC